GUUUUGUGAGAAAUAAAGUUCAUUCAGAAGGAUCCUGCACUCCUAGAAGGAUGGCACAACAAACUUAAGAAGAGACUCAAACAUGUGUAAUAUCAUCCAGUAUGCAACAGGAGGAGCCCGGUCCACAACAAGACGACAAUUCAGAGGAAUAAACAUCAAAAUCUAACUACUGAUAGACAGAAACAUACAAGGACUCAUCAACGUAAUAGAUCACGCUGAUGCAGCAUCCCAUCUUCUCCAUCGGAACUGAAUAAUUAAGUGAAAUAAAAAUUUGUGACUUUUGAUUUGUUUUUCUCAUCAUUUUACAUAUUGUGCCCC
RNAcentral lists this long non-coding RNA (318 nucleotides) under Mytilus galloprovincialis (Mediterranean mussel). Lineage: Eukaryota; Metazoa; Mollusca; Bivalvia; Mytilida; Mytilidae. The record is from RNAcentral.